Molecule: non-coding RNA, 272 nt
Filed under: Cupriavidus basilensis
Lineage: Bacteria; Pseudomonadati; Pseudomonadota; Betaproteobacteria; Burkholderiales; Burkholderiaceae
Source: RNAcentral
GACUGCCAAGGGUUCGAAGGUGCCUCCGGCGCGUAGCGCGGCGGGGGUUAAACGGGAAACAGGUGCGCCGCCGGCCAUGCCGCGGCUAAUCCUGUGCUGCCCCCGCAACGGUCAGCAGGUACAAAGGUGUCACGCCGCGCCAACAGGCCGCGGCAGCCACUGCGCAUCAUCGCGCGGGAAGGCGGCACCCCGGACGCGCCCCCGCCCCACAAGGCAGACAAGGCAGGCGUCCCCCUGCAAGCCCGGAUACCGGCCUUCGACCGAUCACCGGG